GGAGAGCUAACGUACUUUGUGAGUGUGUGCAAGAGACCAUUAGAAGGCAUAUUAGGAUGAUAUUGGACACUAUGUCACAACACAAGAGGAUUGAUGUCACAAAAUAGGGAACAAAAUGAAGAAAACUCAAGUCUACUUUCGACGUCGUAACACGGACUGAGGGUGUCGCGACAUACCCCUAAAGAUGGCCACAGGGGAGCAUACUGGUUGCUAUGUCAUGACACAGGUCUUGGUGUAUCACGACAUCAACUUUGGGACAAAAACUAGACACGAAGUAGGGGCAUUUUGGUCUGCACAAUAAAACCUAAAGCUCGUGAGCAUUAGCUAACCCAGGGUUAAGG
This 341-nucleotide long non-coding RNA is filed under the name Gossypium barbadense (sea-island cotton). Its description in RNAcentral is "long non-coding RNA (GBAR_LNC020029)". The record is from RNAcentral. Lineage: Eukaryota; Viridiplantae; Streptophyta; Magnoliopsida; Malvales; Malvaceae.